CGACGAAGGAGAAACCGACUGGAACGUGAUCGUGAUAAACGUGGAGGACCCCGAGGCUGAAGACUUCAAAGAUAUCGAGGACGUCCGCAGACUGAAGCCCGGAUUCCUGCAGGCCACACUCGACUGGUUCUGGAUGUAUAAAGUCCCAGACGGGAAGCCGGAAAACCAAUUUGCCUUCAAUGGUGAAUUUAAGAACAGGGAUUUCGCCAUUAAAACGGUUAAGGACACUCAUAGUUUCUGGAAAGCUCUGAUCUCCAAGAAAACAGACGCCAGU
Molecule: long non-coding RNA, 274 nt
Organism: Sinocyclocheilus rhinocerous
Lineage: Eukaryota; Metazoa; Chordata; Actinopteri; Cypriniformes; Cyprinidae
Exons: 3
Source: RefSeq, a predicted model, not a curated record